CAGGGAGGUGGUGGGGUCACCGUCCCUGGAGGUGUUCCAGAGCCGUGUGGAUGUGGCACUGAGGACGUGCCUUGGCAUGAGCGCUGGAGCAGCUCUCUUCAAGGGGAAAGUCUGGGGCCAAGGACGGCUGCAGGUGGAGACACCGGGAUGAAGCAUAGGGACACCACGAUACAUCCUGCAGGCUGAGGUGGGAACGUUCCUUUUCUCCUGGCCUUAAGUUUCCCUCCCCUCCAUGCAUAUCUAAGCUGGUGAGGCAAAAAAAUGCCCUGCUCCCCCCUCCGUCCUUGCAGAAAUAGAGUCGGACUUGGAAUUCCCCUCUGUCUCAUGGCUGGGGACACAGGGUCUCGCUGGUGAUCUCAGCCCGGCAGAAACCUUUCUGUGCUGAGAGCAGGCAGCAGCGGAGCAGGAGGCUGGGAAGGAGGAGGGGAGCCAUGGCAGGAAACCAAGAACACAUCAGACACUCUAAAUUUAGAUCUUUUUAUUCAGCUCGGACAAUAUUCCUUGAUUUCUCAUUGUUCGGCGGAGGGCAGAGGGCAGGGGAUCUAUUGAAAGGCUUUGUCCUGAGAGAUGCCACUUUGUCUGGGCACAGGGGGGCGGAGGAGCCGCAGAUUGGGGCGGAUGGGGGCUCCCAUCCCACCGCUCCAGCGAUGCUCGGGCACCUGUGCAGUCCCACUACCCUCAGGGUACCCCCCGUGCCCCAUCCAUGCUGGGGAGCGCCGGCUGCGGGGCCCCACGGUGAGCGGUCCCCGUGGCAGCGGGGCAGCGGGCGCAGGGUGUGUAAAUGCAGGGUAAAUACACACCCGCUCUAUACGUCUCGCUGCCUUUCCGGCACUGCAGCUCAAAGUCUAUUUUUAAACUCCCUCCUUUAUUACACAUGCCAGCAGAUAGCCACGGCCUGCCCACCCCCAUAGCAAGGUGCUGCUCUACUGUGUGCCCAGCAUGGGGAUGGGGCCCGUGGUGGGCCACCGACCCGCUCCUCUGCCCAUCACCGUUGGGCAAUCCGGGGUGCCCGGCCACGUGUGCGUGCUAUUGCAAUGCAGCUGCAGGGUGCACAGUGCCUGGGAUGACGGCUG
RNAcentral lists this long non-coding RNA (1073 nucleotides) under Gallus gallus (chicken). RNAcentral describes it as "lncRNA (ENSGALG00010015665.1)". Lineage: Eukaryota; Metazoa; Chordata; Aves; Galliformes; Phasianidae. The record is from RNAcentral.